GAGGUUUGAACAAGGGAUUCAAUCAGACUGAAGGUGCCCAGGACAAUGACACACCCCACUUGCCUCAGCUAUAGCUCACCAAUUAGCCUCCUGCACAGUCACGGGUUUUAUCUGUGGUCAAUAGAACAAUACUGAGUGUCACCAAUUGGUGGCUGAUUUGAAUAAAAUGUAGCUGAUGGCUCAGGUGAGCACAAGCAAUAGAGAAGAAUCAAAGGAAGUUCUUUGAAAAGAUUAAUAAAAGCUCUUCUUUCUCCAACGUGAAGAUCACGUCUGGUUUGGUAACUUGACACCCUGUAAGAG
RNAcentral lists this long non-coding RNA (300 nucleotides) under Equus caballus (horse). RNAcentral's name for it is "lncRNA (ENSECAG00000049260.1)". The record is from RNAcentral. Lineage: Eukaryota; Metazoa; Chordata; Mammalia; Perissodactyla; Equidae.